RNAcentral lists this ribosomal RNA (403 nucleotides) under Verrucomicrobiota bacterium. RNAcentral describes it as "Verrucomicrobia bacterium partial 16S ribosomal RNA". It matches the Rfam family "Bacterial small subunit ribosomal RNA", at positions 355 to 776 of the family's 1533-position model. Lineage: Bacteria; Pseudomonadati; Verrucomicrobiota. The record is from RNAcentral.
UGGGGAAUAUUGCACAAUGGGGGAAACCCUGAUGCAGCGACGCCGCGUGAGCGAAGAAGGUUUUCGAAUCGUAAAGCUCUGUCCUAUGAGAAGAUAAUGACGGUAUCAUAGGAGGAAGCCCCGGCUAAAUACGUGCCAGCAGCCGCGGUAAUACGUAUGGGGCGAGCGUUGUCCGGAAUUAUUGGGCGUAAAGGGUACGUAGGCGGUCUAUUAAGUCAGGUGUGAAAGCGUGAGGCUUAACCUCAUUAAGCACUUGAAACUGAUAGACUUGAGUGAAGGAGAGGAAAGUGGAAUUCCUAGUGUAGCGGUGAAAUGCGUAGAUAUUAGGAGGAAUACCGGUGGCGAAGGCGACUUUCUGGACUUUUACUGACGCUCAGGUACGAAAGCGAGGGGAGCAAACAGG